This 2911-nucleotide ribosomal RNA is filed under the name Pogostemon cablin (patchouli). Its description in RNAcentral is "bacterial LSU rRNA". It matches the Rfam family "Bacterial large subunit ribosomal RNA". The record is from RNAcentral. Lineage: Eukaryota; Viridiplantae; Streptophyta; Magnoliopsida; Lamiales; Lamiaceae.
AGAAGUAAGGAAGAGCACACGGGGGAUGCCUAGGGUCUCAGAGGCGAUGAAGGACGCGAUAAGCUGCGAUAAGCUCGGGGGAGGGGCACAUACUCGUUAAUCCCGAGAUUUCCGAAUGGGGCAACCCCAUCGGUUGAAGACCGAUGACCACUCCUUAUUGGACUGGAGCAAACGCCGGGAACUGAAACAUCUCAGUACCGGCAGGAACAGAAAAUAACAAUGAUUCCCCAAGUAGUGGCGAGCGAACGGGGAGGAGCCCAAACCAGGGCGGUUACGGCCGCUCUGGGGUUGUAGGACCACAACAUCUGAUUAAACCGACUUAACUGAAGCGCGUGGGAAAGCGCAGCACAGAGGGUGAGACUCCCGUAAGUGACAGGUCCGGUUUACGGUAGUGGGAUCCUGAGUAGGGCGGGGCCGGAGAAACCCCGUCUGAAUCUGGCGGCACCAUCCGCCAAGGCUACAUACUCCUGAGACACCGAUAGUGAACCAGUACCGUGAGGGAAAGGUGAAAAGAACCGCGAAUAGCGGAGUGAAAAGAACCUGAAACCGUGUGCUUACAAGCAGUUAGAGCCCGUUUGUCGGGUGAUAGCGUGCCUUUUGCAUAAUGAGCCUACGAGUUACUCCUCCCUGGCAAGGUUAAGUGUGUGGACACACGCAGCCGCAGCGAAAGCGAGUCUGAACAGGGCGCGUAGUCAGGGGGGGUAGACGCGAAACCUAGUGAGCUACCCUUGAGCAGGAUGAAGGAGCGGUAACACGCUGUGGAGGUCCGAACCAGUUUCCGUUGAAAAGGAUUUGGAUGACUUGAGGGUAGGGGUGAAAGGCCAAUCAAACUGGGAAAUAGCUCGUACUCCCCGAAAUGUAUUGAGGUACAGCGUCGUGGUUAGGUUUGCUGGAGGUAGAGCUACCAAUAGGACUAGGGGGUGUCAGAGCCUACCGAAUCCUGAUGAACUCCGAAUGCCAGCAAAUUCAUACACGGCAGUGAGGCCUGGGGUGCUAAGGUCCCCGGCCGAGAGGGAAAGAACCCAGACCAACAGCUAAGGUCCCUAAGUUUCGUCUAAGUUGAACAAAGGAGGUCCAGUUGCUUUGACAGCCAGGAGGUUGGCUUGGAAGCAGCCAUUCCUUUAAAGAGUGCGUAACAGCUCACUGGUCGAGCGACCGGGCAUCGAUAAUACGCGGGCAUCAAGACGAGCACCGAAGCUUUGGAUUUGACAUUUAGUUGUCAAGUGGUAGGGGAGCAUUCUGGUUGCGGCGAAGGCGAGCUGUCAGGCUUGUUGGAGCGGCCAGAAAAGCACAUGUAGGCAUGAGUAACGAUAAAGUGGGUGCGAAACCCACUCGCCGAUAGACUAAGGUUUCCAAUUCAACGCUAAUCGGAAUUGGGUUAGGCGGGACCUAAGGGAGAGCCGACAGGUGUACCCGAUGGCAAGCCGGUUGAUAUUCCGGCCCCCGGACCAGGAAGUGAUGCAGGGACGCAGGAAUGAAAGUGCCGCGAGCGGACGGAAGUGCUCGUUAAAGGUCGUAGUUUAUUCUUGGGUAGUGAAGUACGCCCUCGAAGACGAAAGCUGAUAGUACUGCACGGCCCUCGGGCCACGCAGAUAGUGCACCUAAGGACUGCCAAGAAAAGCUGCUAAACGUUGUAUCCUGGCUCGGCCCGUACCGCAAACCGACACAGGUAGUCAAGGAGAGUAUCCUGAGGCGCUCGAGUGAAUCACGGCCAAGGAACUCGGCAAAAUGGUCCUGUAACUUCGGGAGAAGGGACGCUUCCUCUAGCGAUAGAGAAGCCGCAGUGAAAAGACCCAAGCGACUGUUUAACAAAAACACAUGGCUUUGCUAACGCGUAAGCGGACGUAUAAGGCCUGACACCUGCCCGGUGCUGGAAGGUUAAGAGGGGAGCUUAGUCGCAAGGCGAAGGCUUGAAUCGAAGCCCCAGUAAACGGCGGCCGUAACUAUAACGGUCCUAAGGUAGCGAAAUUCCUUGUCGGGUAAGUUCCGACCUGCACGAAUGGUGUAACGAUUUGGGUGCUGUCUCAGCCGUGAGCUCGGUGAAAUUGUAGUCUCGGUGAAGAUGCCGAGUACCCGCCACGGGACGGAAAGACCCCGUGCACCUUUACUAUAGGUUGCCAUUGGUGGUGGGUUCAGUAUGUGUAGCAUAGGCGGGAGGCGUCGAAGCGGGGCCGCUAGGUCUCGUGGAGCCAACGUUGAAAUACCGCCCUUACUGUGCCUGCUGCCUAACUCUAGGUUUCUUAGAGAACAGUGGCUGCUGGGUAGUUUGACUGGGGUGGUCGCCUCCAAAAAUGUAUCGGAGGCUUUCAAAGGUCCACUCAAUCCGCUUGGUAACCGGAUGUAGAGCGCAAUAGUAGAAGUGGGCUUGACUGUGAGACUGACUAGUCGAGCAGGGUCGAAAGACGGAUAUAGUGAUCCGGUGGUUCCGCAUGGAAGGGCCAUCGCUCAAAGGAUAAAAGGUACGCCGGGGAUAACAGGCUGAUCUCCCCCAAGAGCUCAUAUCGACGGGGAGGUUUGGCACCUCGAUGUCGGCUCGUCACGUCCUGGGGCUGGAGAAGGUCCCAAGGGUUCGGCUGUUCGCCGAUUAAAGUGGCACGCGAGCUGGGUUCAGAACGUCGUGAGACAGUUCGGUCCCUAUCUGUGGUGGGCGUUGGAUGAUUGAGAGGACCUGACUUUAGUACGAGAGGACCGAGUUGGACCAGCCGCUGGUGCGCCGGUUGUCCCGCCAGGGGCAGCGCCGGGUAGCUACGCUGGGAGCAGAUAAGCGCUGAAAGCAUCUAAGUGCGAAACUCACCUCAAGAUGAGUCAUCCCAAUGAAAGGUCCGUGGUAGACGACCACGUCAAUAGGCCGCAGGUGUACGGCUAGAAAUAGCUGAGCUGAGCGGUACUAAGGAACCGAGGACUUACGCUU